This 72-nucleotide transfer RNA is filed under the name Saccharibacter floricola DSM 15669. RNAcentral describes it as "tRNA-Gln". It matches the Rfam family "tRNA". From Rfam's summary of the family: Transfer RNA (tRNA) molecules are approximately 80 nucleotides in length. Lineage: Bacteria; Pseudomonadati; Pseudomonadota; Alphaproteobacteria; Acetobacterales; Acetobacteraceae. RNAcentral also lists the same sequence under 1 other name. The record is from RNAcentral.
UGGGAUGUAGCCAAGCGGUAAGGCAGCGGAUUUUGAUUCCGCCAUGCGGAGGUUCGAAUCCUCCCAUCCCAG